RNAcentral lists this ribosomal RNA (497 nucleotides) under uncultured bacterium. RNAcentral describes it as "partial 16S ribosomal RNA". It matches the Rfam family "Bacterial small subunit ribosomal RNA", at positions 28 to 507 of the family's 1533-position model. The record is from RNAcentral.
GAUGAACGCUGGCGGCGUGCCUAAUACAUGCAGGUCGAGCGAACAGACGAGGAGCUCGCUCCUCUGACGUUAGCGGCGGACGGGUGAGUAACACGUGGAUAACCUACCUAUAAGACUGGGAUAACUUCGGGAAACCGGAGCUAAUACCGGAUAACAUGUUGAACCGCAUGGUUCAACAGUGAAAGACGGUCUUGCUGUCACUUAUAGAUGGAUCCGCGCCGCAUUAGCUAGUUGGUAAGGUAACGGCUUACCAAGGCAACGAUGCGUAGCCGACCUGAGAGGGUGAUCGGCCACACUGGAACUGAGACACGGUCCAGACUCCUACGGGAGGCAGCAGUAGGGAAUCUUCCGCAAUGGGCGAAAGCCUGACGGAGCAACGCCGCGUGAGUGAAGAAGGUCUUCGGAUCGUAAAACUCUGUUAUUAGGGAAGAACAAAUGUGUAAGUAACUAUGCACGUCUUGACGGUACCUAAUCAGAAAGCCACGGCUAACUACGUG